Molecule: RNA transcript, 2128 nt
Organism: Cercocebus atys (sooty mangabey)
Lineage: Eukaryota; Metazoa; Chordata; Mammalia; Primates; Cercopithecidae
Gene name: cartilage-associated protein pseudogene
Exons: 3
Source: RefSeq, a predicted model, not a curated record
AUGACUCCUGGUGCAGCCAUGGAUGCGAGUGGCUGGAGUGGAGGACAGGUGCAGGACAUUCGAGUCAUGAAGGACUGGACUCAAAGUGUGGCAAAUGGUACCCCCAAGACUGGGUGGCUCAGAAUUGGUCUCAGGCCAAAUUCUGCCAUGGUGGCUGAAUUUGAUUCCUUAUUCAUCUCGGACUCGUAUGAAAAGUGCACAAGCAAGCAGAAGAACUUUUUGGACACCUGCUGUGAGCUAGCAUCAUCUGUAUCCAGAAGAAUAGACAUUCAUUUAAGAAAACUAGACAGCUUCCGCAGCUUCCCACGGGACGAGCUGAUGCCGCUCGAGUCGGCCUACCGGCACGCGCUGGACAAGUAUAGUGGCGAGCACUGGGCUGAGAGCGUGGGCUACCUGGAGAUCAGCCUGCGGCUGCACCGCCUGCUGCGCGACAGCGAGGCCUUCUGCCACCGCAACUGCAGCGCCGCGCCGCAGCCCGAGCCCGCCUCCGGCCUCGCCAGCUAUCCAGAGCUGCGCCUCUUCGGGGGCCUGCUGCGCCGCGCGCACUGCCUCAAGCGCUGCAAGCAAGGCCUGCCAGCCUUCCGCCAGUCCCAGCCCAGCCGCGAGGUGCUGGCGGACUUCCAGCGCCGCGAGCCCUACAAGUUCCUGCAGUUCGCCUACUUCAAGGCAAAUAAUCUCCCCAAAGCCAUCGCAGCUGCUCACACCUUUCUACUGAAGCAUCCUGAUGAUGAAAUGAUGAAGAGGAACAUGGCGUAUUAUAAGAGCCUGCCUGGUGCCGAGGACUACAUUAAAGACCUGGAAACCAAGUCGUAUGAGAGCCUGUUCAUCCGAGCAGUGCGAGCGUACAAUGGUGAGAACUGGAGAACAUCCAUCACAGACAUGGAGCUGGCCCUUCCCGACUUCUUCAAAGCCUUUUACGAGUGUCUCGCGGCCUGUGAGGGUUCCAGGGAGAUCAAGGACUUCAAGGAUUUCUACCUUUCCAUAGCAGAUCAUUAUAUAGAAGUUCUGGAAUGCAAAAUACAGUGUGAAGAGAACCUCACCCCAGUUAUAGGAGGCUAUCCAGUUGAGAAAUUUGUGGCUACCAUGUAUCAUUACUUGCAGUUUGCCUAUUAUAAGUUGAACGACCUGAAGAAUGCAGCCCCCUGUGCAGUCAGCUACCUGCUCUUUGAUCAGAAUGACAAGGUCAUGCAGCAGAACCUGGUGUAUUACCAGUACCACAGGGACACUUGGGGCCUCUCGGAUGAGCACUUCCAGCCCAGACCUGAAGCAGUUCAGUUCUUUAACGUGACCACACUCCAGAAGGAGCUGUAUGACUUUGCUAAGGAAAAUAUAAUGGAUGACGAUGAGGGAGAAGUUGUGGAAUACGUGGAUGACCUCUUAGAACUGGAGGAGACCAGCUAGCCCGCAGCAACCUAAGAGACUUCCUCCUGACGUUCAGGAAACACAGAUUCUUCGUCCUUUUCCCAACAGCCCAGGCUGUUGAUACCUCAGAGCCUUCCCUUUACUCUCCGAAGUGAAAGGGAAGCCCCCAUCUCUCUCACUACAUGUCACCAGGGGUGAGCCUGCCUUUCCCGUCUUCACACCUGCCACCUCGUGUUCACACCUAUCUUUCUUACCUUCUUUUUGAGAUGGAGUCUCGCUCUGUCGCCCAGGCUGGAGUCCUUUGGCACGUUCUCGGCUCACUGCAAUCUCUGCUUCCUGGGUUCAAGCGAUUCUCCUGCCUCAGCCUCCCAAGUACCUGGGAUUACGGGCAUGUGCCACCACGCCUGGCUAAUUUUGUAUUUUCAGUAGAGACGGGGUUUCGCCAUGUUGGCCAGGCUGGUCUUGAACUCUUGACUUCAGGUGAUCCACCUGCCUUGGCCUUCCACAGUGCUGGGAUUACAGGUGUGAGCCACCGUGCCCGGCCUCUUUCUCACCUUUACACCUGUCUUCUUAUCCUCACAUCUGUUUUCACACCUUCACCCCUGUCUUUCUCAUGUUCACACUUGUCUUCCCCGUGUUCAUACCUGCCUUUCUCACCAUUUUGGUUUGAAGGACAGUCUUCUCUGGCUUGUUUUUUUGUUUUGUUUCUUUUUUUUUCCCCCAGAAAAUCAGUAUUAUUUUUUAAAUAAGAAAAACAUUCCUAAAA